GGAUCGCGUCUCCGUCCCUCCCUCCCGAGCGGGCCGUUUGACAUUGCCGCCCCUCCGGAGCGGGAGGAGCUACCGGGAGAGGGCGGGGCUCCCUGGAGAAGGCGAGGGGGCGGGGCCGAGCCCCUUCGGCAGCGCCCUUCUAACAGGAACUCCGGUGACGGCCUGUCACGGAGCGACAGGUAUUUAAAAGGGGCGGGUCAUCCCCGAGCAGCCAAUCGGAGCGGCACGGCCCCGCGCGCAGGGGGACGUUGCGUCCGUUGCCAGCUGUGGGGUAGUUGACUGGCAGUGCUUUACUCCAAUCGGAGCGCGUCAUGUGAGUCACGUGGGAGCCCCCCGGCGCCGUGCCAGGGCGCUGCGGUGCGUGUGGGCUGGCGGGUGGUGCUGCUCCCGGCGUCCUCUGGGGCGGAGCGGAGUCCAAGCAGAGCAUGCCGGGAGUUGUAGUCCGCUAUGCGGGGGCGCGGCGAGCGUGUGGCAGGCAUCUGCAAGGAUUGGGAAAUGCUCUGGAGUUAUGAAUAAUACACUUGUAGCAGAGUUAGGAUGGGCUCUGAAGAACAGUAGUGCAGAUUGGCAGAUGUUUCGACCUGAUGAGAGAUGA
This 595-nucleotide long non-coding RNA is filed under the name Cyanistes caeruleus (blue tit). RNAcentral describes it as "lncRNA (ENSCCEG00000008940.1)". The record is from RNAcentral. Lineage: Eukaryota; Metazoa; Chordata; Aves; Passeriformes; Paridae.